This 255-nucleotide ribosomal RNA is filed under the name uncultured bacterium. RNAcentral describes it as "partial 16S ribosomal RNA". It matches the Rfam family "Bacterial small subunit ribosomal RNA", at positions 524 to 776 of the family's 1533-position model. The record is from RNAcentral.
UACGUAGGGUGCAAGCGUUAAUCGGAAUUACUGGGCGUAAAGCGUGCGCAGGCGGUUGUGUAAGACAGAUGUGAAAUCCCCGGGCUCAACCUGGGAACUGCAUUUGUGACUGCACAGCUGGAGUGCGGCAGAGGGGGGAUGGAAUUCCGCGUGUAGCAGUGAAAUGCGUAGAUAUGCGGAGGAACACCGAUGGCGAAGGCAAUCCCCUGGGCCUGCACUGACGCUCAUGCACGAAAGCGUUGGGGAGCAAACAGG